RNA transcript from Dalotia coriaria, 1543 nucleotides. RefSeq lists it as uncharacterized. The record is from RefSeq and is a predicted model, not a curated record. The transcript is spliced from 3 exons. Lineage: Eukaryota; Metazoa; Arthropoda; Insecta; Coleoptera; Staphylinidae.
GUUCAGAUCAAUGGGAAACAAUCGACAGCCAAACUGUGAAACCUGUGAAAAGUCAAUUUCGCUUAAAGUUUUGGUGUGUAUUCUAUAUCCAAUAUAGAACUAAACAUUUAUUGCUACAAUUUGCAAUUUAAUUAAAACAUUUAUAUUUCCCACCAUAAUACAGUUUGGUGUUGAGACGCUUAUCAGUAUUUUGCACUAUGUAAACAACGGCGCACAUGUUUUGAAACUAGUUUGGUUCUGAUCGCCGACCAGUACGCAUUACUUGUGGUAUAUUUAGUUUUAUUCAAGAUUUCCUGUCGGUAUAGUAUUAAAUCACCGCCCGCAUUGCAGGUUGUAACAACAGUUCUCUUACUCAGUAUAUAAGUUUGUGAUUGACUAAUGUUUUAACGGAAACUCACAGGAGGGCCAUUUAUGCAUCAAAUUGGCAGUAGAAAUGGAACGGAAACUCACAGGAGGGCUAUUUAUACAUCAAAUUGUACGUAUUGUAAUUCUGCAUCAUCUCUAUAACUUAGUUUUGCAAUUUUCUCACGGGAAAGUCAUAAAAAUUGCAUUUUUGUGUUUUGAGACACUGAUUUUUCGUGUUUUAGGGCUGUAGAAAUGGAUCGGAAACUCACAGGAGGGCUAUUGGUACAUCAAAUUGUACGUAUUGUAAUUCUGUAUCAUCUCUAUAACGUAGUUUUGCUAUUUUCUCACGGGAAAGCCAUGAAAAUUGCAUUUUUGUGUUUUAAGACACUGAUUUUUCGUGUUUUAGGGCAGUAGAAAUGGAACGGAAACUCACAGGAGGGCUAUUUAUACAUCAAAUUGUACGUAUUGUAAUUCUGUAUCAUCUCUAUAACUUAGUUUUGCAAUUUUCUCACGGGAAAGCCAUGAAAAUUGCAUUUUUGUGUUUUGAGACACUGAUUUUUCGUGUUUUAGGGCAGUAGAAAUGGAACGGAAACUCACAGGAGGGCUAUUUAUACAUCCAAUUGUACGUAUUGUAAUUCUGCAUCAUCUCUAUAACUUAGUUUUGCAAUUUUCUCACGGGAAAGCCAUAAAAAUUGCAUUUUUGUGUUUUGAGACACUGAUUUUUCGUGUUUUAGGGCUGUAGAAAUGGAUCGGAAACUCACAGGAGGGCUAUUGGUACAUCAAAUUGGUUCUAGAAAUUGAACUGGAUUGCAGAAGGGUCAUUCUUGCAUAAAAUUGCAAGUAUUUUAAUUCUGCAUCAUAAGCUUAUUUUGUGUAGUAUCCAUUUUCAGUUCUAUUGUGAUACCGCGUUUCUUAUGGUUCAGGAGGAGUUCUUGUUUAAACGAACAAUAAAGAUGGUAAAUCAUAUUUGAAGAAAAAUAUUCUAUGAAAUGUUUUGUUAUGUUUUAUUAUCUUAUGUGAGGCCACGGGCCUGCAACCUCGGCACAGAGCGAUAUGACGCGGUGGGUCAGAAUGAUUGUUGCUCUUCUAGUUUUGCUUAGUUCACCUUGCGCUCUCGUGUACACGCGUUUUAUUUUUGCGAAUGUUUACUUGUACGUAUUUUUAAAACUUAUUAAUAAAACACUUAUUACAUUUAUAA